This 232-nucleotide ribosomal RNA is filed under the name uncultured bacterium. Its description in RNAcentral is "partial 16S ribosomal RNA". It matches the Rfam family "Bacterial small subunit ribosomal RNA", at positions 99 to 334 of the family's 1533-position model. The record is from RNAcentral.
CGGACGGGUGAGUAAUGUCUGGGAAACUGCCUGAUGGAGGGGGAUAACUACUGGAAACGGUAGCUAAUACCGCAUAACGUCGCAAGACCAAGGAGGGGGACCUCCGGGCCUCUUGCCAUCGGAUGUGCCCAGAUGGGAUUAGCUAGUAGGUGGGGUAACGGCUCACCUAGGCGACGAUCCCUAGCUGGUCUGAGAGGAUGACCAGCCACACUGGAACUGAGACACGGUCCAG